UGCCUUGUUGCUACAGGAGAAAGGGCACAACUCAUUUUGUGUCUGAAUUCAGUAACAAGGCUACAGGAAACACAGGCUAAGCUUCCAUCAUUGUGCGUUAAAUUACAUUGGUGACAAUGAGGCCUGUAAUAUUU
Eublepharis macularius is the source of this 134-nucleotide small nucleolar RNA. RefSeq annotates it as small nucleolar RNA SNORA1. The record is from RefSeq and is a predicted model, not a curated record. The transcript has a single exon. NCBI's taxonomy places the organism in Eukaryota, Metazoa, Chordata, Lepidosauria, Squamata, Eublepharidae.